GGAAGAACCUCAAGGAUGCAGUCUGGACCACCUGCUCUCCUGUGCGCAGUCGUGGCCCUCAUCUGCCUCGGUUCCAACAAUGUUGAGAGCGCCGAUGUACCUACAGUGUAUAAAAAGGAGGGGGAAUCUGUGACCGUGGAAUGCAAGUUCUCAGUCAGCUAUACUUACUAUAUGAUGUACUGGUAUCGACAGCCUUCCAGCGGAGAGAUGAUUUACAUGGUUAAUAUUUAUUCUCAAAGCAAGCACGCAAGGGAAGGACGAUACUCCGUGGAAUUUUACAAACCCAACCAAAUGCUGAAACUCACCAUCUCAGCCUUGACACUGAGUGACUCGGCCACCUAUUUCUGUGCUGUUAGAGAGUUCCACGGUGAGGGUAGUGACAGGAAGCGCCUUACAAAAACCCCCAGGGCUCGGCACGAGACAGCCACCUGCUCCAGGAGAAGACAACCCACAGAACAGGAAGAGGGAAGACACAGGCAUGAUGGGUGGUUCUGCUGGAUCUAGAGAGAAGCUAAUGAAUGUUCUCAAACCAAUCUUCCCACAUUUGGUGUAAAAGAAAGAGUCGUGGUUACAAGACCCCAGCCUCCAGAGCAUUUUCAUCUCUGUGUCUGGUGUCUAAGUACAGCCCAUCAAGGUAUGCCGCUGUCAUUUCUGCUUGCCCAACAUCCACACCCCUUUUCUGGUGACAGCACCUUGAUCUUCUCUGGAUAAACAA
Odocoileus virginianus texanus is the source of this 715-nucleotide non-coding RNA. Lineage: Eukaryota; Metazoa; Chordata; Mammalia; Artiodactyla; Cervidae. The record is from the annotation of a RefSeq genome assembly.